CCAGAGAACUUAGCAGAGAUGCUUUGGUGCCUUCGGGAACUCUGAGACAGGUGCUGCAUGGCUGUCGUCAGCUCGUGUUGUGAAAUGUUGGGUUAAGUCCCGCAACGAGCGCAACCCUUAUCCUUUGUUGCCAGCGGUUCAGCCGGGAACUCAAAGGAGACUGCCGGUGAUAAACCGGAGGAAGGUGGGGAUGACGUCAAGUCAUCAUGGCCCUUACGGCCAGGGCUACACACGUGCUACAAUGGCGCAUACAAAGAGAAGCGACCUCGCGAGAGCAAGCGGACCUCAUAAAGUGCGUCGUAGUCCGGAUUGGAGUCUGCAACUCGACUCCAUGAAGUCGGAAUCGCUAGUAAUCGUAGAUCAGAAUGCUACGGUGAAUACGUUCCCGGGCCUUGUACACACCGCCCGUCACACCAUGGGAGUGGGUUGCAAAAGAAGUAGGUAGCUUAACCUUCGGGAGGGCGCUUACCACUUUGUGAUUCAUGACUGGGGUGAAGUCGUAACAAGGUAAGCGUAGCGAG
This 521-nucleotide ribosomal RNA is filed under the name uncultured bacterium. RNAcentral's name for it is "bacterial SSU rRNA". It matches the Rfam family "Bacterial small subunit ribosomal RNA", at positions 988 to 1509 of the family's 1533-position model. The record is from RNAcentral.